UACAGAGGGGGCGAGCGUUGUUCGGAAUUACUGGGCGUAAAGGGAGCGUAGGCGGAUAGUUUAGUCAGAGGUGAAAUCCCGGGGCUCAACCUCGGAACUGCCUUUGAUACUGGCUAUCUUGAGUAUGGGAGAGGUGUGUGGAACUCCGAGUGUAGAGGUGAAAUUCGUAGAUAUUCGGAAGAACACCAGUGGCGAAGGCGACUCGCUGGACAGGUAUUGACGCUGAGGUGCGAAAGCGUGGGGAGCAAACAGG
RNAcentral lists this ribosomal RNA (253 nucleotides) under uncultured bacterium. Its description in RNAcentral is "partial 16S ribosomal RNA". It matches the Rfam family "Bacterial small subunit ribosomal RNA", at positions 524 to 776 of the family's 1533-position model. The record is from RNAcentral.